RNAcentral lists this transfer RNA (67 nucleotides) under human gut metagenome. It matches the Rfam family "tRNA", at positions 6 to 65 of the family's 71-position model. Rfam says of the family: Transfer RNA (tRNA) molecules are approximately 80 nucleotides in length. Their secondary structure includes four short double-helical elements and three loops (D, anti-codon, and T loops). The record is from RNAcentral.
UGGUGUAGCUCAGUUGGCAGAGCGACUGAUUCGUAAUCAGUAGGUCCGGGGUUCGACUCCCCGCAUU